GACGAACGCUGGCGGCGUGCUUAACACAUGCAAGUCGAACGAGAGGACAAGAGAAGCUUGCUUCUUUGGAAUCGAGUGGCAAACGGGUGAGUAACACGUAAACAACCUGCCUUCAGGAUGGGGACAACAGACGGAAACGACUGCUAAUACCGAAUACGCUUGGGAGACCGCAUGAUCUUCCAAGGAAGGGUGGCCCUCUACUUGUAAGCUAUCGCCUGAAGAGGGGUUUGCGUCUGAUUAGGCAGUUGGUGAGGUAACGGCCCACCAAACCUACGAUCAGUAGCCGGUCUGAGAGGAUGAACGGCCACACUGGAACUGAGACACGGUCCAGACUCCUACGGGAGGCAGGCAGUUGGGGAAUCUUCCGCAAUGGGCGAAAGCCUGACGGAGCAACGCCGCG
This 400-nucleotide ribosomal RNA is filed under the name uncultured bacterium. Its description in RNAcentral is "bacterial SSU rRNA". It matches the Rfam family "Bacterial small subunit ribosomal RNA", at positions 28 to 401 of the family's 1533-position model. The record is from RNAcentral.